Non-coding RNA from Gossypium raimondii (Peruvian cotton), 106 nucleotides. NCBI's taxonomy places the organism in Eukaryota, Viridiplantae, Streptophyta, Magnoliopsida, Malvales, Malvaceae. The record is from Rfam.
AAUUUGUGGUACGGACAUUUUUGAAUCAACAUUUUGAAUCAUUCUCAUGCCUCAUAAAAACUUUCUUCUAUCAUCUAUCUAAAGACAAAAAUCUCUCUUCUUAGUU